Molecule: ribosomal RNA, 519 nt
Filed under: uncultured eukaryote
Lineage: Eukaryota
Description: SSU rRNA
Rfam family: Eukaryotic small subunit ribosomal RNA
Source: RNAcentral
AGGGCACCACCAGGAGUGGAGCCUGCGGCUUAAUUUGACUCAACACGGGGAAACUUACCCGGCCUGGACACUGGAAGGAUUGACAGAUUGAGAGCUCUUUCUUGAUUCAGUGGGUGGUGGUGCAUGGCCGUUCUUAGUUGGUGGAGCGAUUUGUCUGGUUAAUUCCGAUAACGAACGAGACUCUAGCCUAUUAAAUAGGCUCCCGGCUUUUAAACGCCGGGAGGACUUCUUAGAGGGACAGGUGGCGGUUCAGCCGCACGAAAGAGAGCAAUAACAGGUCUGUGAUGCCCUUUGUUGUCCGGGGCCGCACGCGCGCUACACUGAAGAGAUCAGCGUGCUUUAUGUUCCUGCUCCGACCGGAGUGGGGAACCCAGUGAACCUUCUUCGUGAUUGGGAUAGAAGAUUGUGAUUAUUCUUCUUGAACGAGGAAUUCCCAGUAAAUGCGAGUCAUAAGCUCGCGUUGAUUACGUCCCUGCCCUUUGUACACACCGCCCGUCGCUACUACCGAUUGAACGAUUU